UUUCAAAUUCUAUAUAUUUAGAGGCAGCAGUUAUUCUUUUAUUUUCUUCUUCUCUUACCACAGAGUGGGGACAGAUACUUAUAUAUGAUAUACUUACCCUAAUAGUCCUCUUCUGCAGCACAAAGAUGGUAUAUAUAUCGGCAGCAUUGCCCCAUAGCAAUAUACCGUAGGACAUAAUACUAUGAAAAUAACUGAACUAAUCGCUGUGUGCUAAUGGCUUAUCUUUUUAAUGACAUCAGCUGCAGAGCUAAGGCUAUUCGCCAAUCCUUCAAAAUGGAGAUACAUUUGUUAAAUUGGAGUCAAGACAAAUCUCCAACAAUAUUUUAUUUGUUUGACCUCCUCUCUGCUUCACAGAACACUCGCGUGUACAAUUGUGGAACAUCAUCUGUAAACACCGAACAUAAGUAUAUGUUAGUACUUAGUAAUCAUCUAAGUUAAGUAAGAUGGUAGUAGUUAAGUGAAGUUGCUAGAGAUGUUGACUUGCGAAAGGCUGGAACGAGGAAAGAAGAUGUCUCGUAAAGAGAUGAAACACGAGACAAAGUGGAACUUAACGGAAUAAACACUCCAGAUCAGCUAUUAUAACAUAUUUAAUUUGAAAAUUUGAAAAUGAAUUUCCGCAAAAGAACGCAUAUUUCCAAAUUUCCAAUUCUACUAUCAUUUAUUAAAUUUAUUUGGAUCUUUUAGAUCAGUGCGAAAGUCUUAGAAAUCAAAAUGUUAUUGGUUUGCAAUUAGAAUUGGGUUUCCAUAGUAUGCCUGCAGAUAAGGUGAAUCGUACCCUCGCUUGUUCCUCUGUCACAUACAACAAUCACUGUACCUCGGU
This is a long non-coding RNA of Leptidea sinapis, 820 nucleotides long. RefSeq lists it as uncharacterized. The record is from RefSeq and is a predicted model, not a curated record. NCBI's taxonomy places the organism in Eukaryota, Metazoa, Arthropoda, Insecta, Lepidoptera, Pieridae. The transcript has 3 exons.